This 468-nucleotide ribosomal RNA is filed under the name uncultured bacterium. Its description in RNAcentral is "partial 16S ribosomal RNA". It matches the Rfam family "Bacterial small subunit ribosomal RNA", at positions 28 to 507 of the family's 1533-position model. The record is from RNAcentral.
GACGAACGCUGGCGGCGUGCUUAACACAUGCCAGUCGAACGGAAAGGCCCUGCUUUUGUGGGGUGCUCGAGUGGCGAACGGGUGAGUAACACGUGAGUAACCUGCCCUUGACUUUGGGGUAACUUCAGGAAACUGGGGCUAAUACCGGAUAGGAGCUCCUGCUGCCUGGUGGGGGUUGGAAAGUUUCGGCGGUUGGGGAUGGACUCGCGGCUUAUCAGCUUGUUGGUGGGGUAGUGGCUUACCAAGGCUUUGACGGGUAGCCGGCCUGAGAGGGUGACCGGCCACAUUGGGACUGAGAUACGGCCCAGACUCCUACGGGAGGCAGCAGUGGGGAAUAUUGCACAAUGGGCGGAAGCCUGAUGCAGCAACGCCGCGUGCGGGAUGACGGCCUUCGGGUUGUAAACCGCUUUCGCCUGUGACGAAGCGUGAGUGACGGUAAUGGGUAAAGAAGCACCGGCUAACUACGUG